UACAGAGGGGGCAAGCGUUGUUCGGAAUUACUGGGCGUAAAGGGCGCGUAGGCGGCCUGUUAAGUCGAACGUGAAAUCCCCGGGCUCAACCCGGGAACUGCGUCCGAUACUGGCAGGCUUGAAUCCGGGAGAGGGACGUGGAAUUCCAGGUGUAGCGGUGAAAUGCGUAGAUAUCUGGAGGAACACCGGUGGCGAAGGCGACGUCCUGGACCGGCAUUGACGCUGAGGCGCGAAAGCCAGGGGAGCAAACGGG
Molecule: ribosomal RNA, 253 nt
Filed under: uncultured bacterium
Lineage: Bacteria
Description: partial 16S ribosomal RNA
Rfam family: Bacterial small subunit ribosomal RNA
Source: RNAcentral